AAUUCCGUUGUCUUGGUAAAAAGAUAUAUCGUCGUAUUAGUAUUUCAAAUCCUCAUUAAUUAUUUAUAUACUUAAUAUAUAUAACUUUUAACAUUUAUUCUGAAGAAAAAAGAAAAUAUCGAUGAGGGAAUGUCGUCAUUCGUAAAGAAGAUUUACAAUGAGACGAGCAAUUUAUAAACAACAGCAUUGAGAACAGCAGAUUACAUUUAUCAAUUCAAGGCCACAUGAUAGGAAGUCCUAUUGUGUGUGAUUUGCCUUUGGGCAUGUCCUUCUAUACGUAUAGAUGAAAUCACAACCGCAGAUAGACCAAAGAAAAUAAGAAAGUUUCUUAUCCCAACGAAAAAUAUGAUUGAUGAGUCAACUUUUUUAAAGAGAUCUUUACGAUCACUUCGAACUGACGAUCUUUCGGUCAACCCGUCUGCUGUUGCUUCUUGCCAGGUCAAAGACCCAACAGCCCUUAGAAGGCCGUCUUCAGACUUUCGGUGAAAGUACAUACGUUUCGUCCUUGAACUGGAAGCCUUCGAACGAUCGACGCAGUGAAAUAUUUCAUGGUGUAUCAUAUAAUCUUCGAAAGGAGAAACAUGCUAUAAUCGCAAAGGUACAUUUUCCUGUUUGCAAAAGCGAGCUCUAAUGGAAACGUUCCUCAAAGAAGAAGUUUCUUAUCUUCUAGAACAUUUACACAGUAAAGGAACGGACCAGUUCUCGGAAUCGAUACGAAAAACACGAAAUUCAAACGAACAACCUUCUGUUUGCGGAAAUGAUAGAAACGUUUGAAUAAACAUAUGCAAACACGAUGAGGUGUAGUUACAAAAAAAAGCAAAGAAAAUAAAAAAGAAAAGGAUUGAAUUAAAGAGUAUGUACAACGAUCGCAAGUAACGAUGUGUUGAGUGACGUGAAAUCUAUCUGGUAUUCUCGAUGGUUCUGAUGAUCGGUUAGGUGAGAAUGAGAUGACGAUGGAAGAAUAACUCCUUAAUGCAUAUACAUAUAUAUAUGUGUGUGUGUGUGUAUGUAUACAUUUGCAAGGAAAUAAAAAAUAAAAAGAAGAAAAAACGACGGGAGAUGUCGACAAGGUCGUGGUUUUCAUUCGAUCUUGGAAAGAGAAUGUGCUCCAGACUCGUGGUUUUCCCCACGAGAAAGAGAAGAGAAAUAGAAAGAGAAAGAGAUAGAGAGAGAGAGAGAGAGAGAAGAGAGAGAACCGUUCACCUUAACACCUGCACUAUCGAGGUUUGGACUUCGUCAGAGAUUGAAUUUCAUAAAUUUUUACGAAGUCUGUUUACGAAGUUUCUGAGAGACGAACGGUAUUCUCCUGUUCGUAUUUACACUUUAUACAAUAUCGCCGUUGUUUCUAAACCUAUUUAUACGCUUUGAAUAAUUACUAGGACUCACAAUAAGGAAGAGAAAAAUAUUGAAGGAAAAUUUCAAUAAUUUUUCUUAAAAUAUAUGACUUUCUAACUUUGAAAUCUUUCCUGUUAUUUUUCCGUUACUAUAUUAGUUAUCUCAUUCUCAAGUCAAACCAUAAAAAAGUGAAUUUUUUUUAUAUUUCAUUGCUAUUAUCAAUAAUGUUCUUCGAAUGCAAAUUGAAUGACACAAUCGAGAGUGAUAGUAAAAUAACAUUUUCGUAUUAGGAUGAGAUAUGGAAAGAUCGUUGAUGAAAGAGGAUACGAUAAGUAAAUCUUGAUAUUGUUUUCAUUUUUCUCUCGUUUUAGACUUUUACUUUCUUCGUUAUAUUCGUUAUAUGUGAAAGAUAAUAGUGAAAAAAAUUAAGAGGAACGUAAGAAAGAAGAAGAAGAAGAGAUCAGCAUCGAACAGUCGUGGAAAGAGGAUUACGAUGAGAUGCACCUGCAGGUGUAUUUUAGAUGGUUAGCAGCUCCGAAGGCGACUCGACGUUCAACGAAGACGUCCGAAGGUCAUCGAGCUACUCUCCUCUAUAAAACCGACGCGACACGUCCCAGCAGUUAUUCGCAAGAAAGGAAGAGAGACGUACGGUUGUCGAUUCUGUGUACAAUACAGAUCUCUAACACGUUUCUUUUCAUUUUCUUUAAAUGAAACAUUAGUUGUCUUCAGUUAUUAUAAAUAUCUUUCUAGUGUUCGGUAAUAGAAAUACCGAAUCUUUUAAUUUGUCGGAAAGUGAUAAGUGUCAAUAAUUCCGACGAUUUUCUCAAGAAGAAAAGAAAACUCCAACUUUUUAUUGUUAUAUUAUCUCUUAUCCAAAAACGAGAACGUAGAAGAGAAAUCUCAAAGAAGAUGUAUACCAAUCCAUUCAAUCGUAAACACAGUACGAUCAGACAAGUGUUGGAUCGUCUUUUGGAUCCAACGAGGAAGCCGAUCAGAAGAUCGGAAAGUGUAUCGAGUUCUGGAAGUAGUACGAGUAAAAGUAGCAAUCGAUCUUGGAAUGAGUCUAAUCACUCUCACAGAGGGAUUCUACAGUGGGGUAGAAAGUGAAUGGAAAUCAAUCGAGAUGAGAGACGAUCAUUUCGAACGAUCACACUCGAUAUUAUCAUUCCUCUCUCUAUUUUCUCAAAUUCUCUUUCUUUUUCAUCAACUUUGAUCGUAAGAGAGUUUUCUUUUAAAUGGAGACCAAAGCAGAGUAACUUUCUAACGUGCUCUGAAAGAUCAAAAAAGAAGUAUAACUUCCUUUUACGUUUCUUUUUUUAACUGGCAAUCAUCUUGGAAAAAAACGAAAGUGAACGAGCGAAUCGAGUAGAAGAAAAAAGAAGACAAAUCUGUUAUCUUUUUCUGCUUGGACUCUCAGGAAUGCUUUGCUGUUAAGAAGAAUUAGAAGAACAACAACAAUGAAAAGAUGAAGACGAAGAUGUUGAAACCAACGAAAGGAAGAAUUGGAUCGAUCGAUUUUCAUCCGUUCCAUUCUUUUGAUUUCUACAUAGUUAGCAAUAUUGUUCACGCUUUAAUCACGCCAUAUUCGUGCUUAUUUAUAUUAUUCGUUAAGCCUCAUUAUUCUUCGUGCCAUAUUAUAAAUUAUCUCUUUUUAGAAUCUAAGAGAGAUAAUGUUAUUACGAUGAUCAUAUCACAAAUCAAACUGCGAAGAAUUUAGAAGAAUUAAGUUUACUAGUCAAGAGGCAGUAUUAGUUGUCAAUUUUUCUUCACUCUCUUCAUUCAACAAUACUUUUCUUUUUUCAUUCAUUAUACUCUUUUUAUUUAUUGUUAUAUAUCAUUUACUUUUGUACUUUAACAUUAAUACAAACAGAGAUGUGCAAUUAAUUGAAAAACAAAGAAAAAAAAGCAAAGAGAGGUGUAGACUUUCUUUUCUUUGAUCCCGUCCUGUCAUAAAAAAGGCGUUUGUAUACUUGUUGCGUGUAUCCACACACACACACACAUAUAUAUAUAUAUAUCUAAGACAGUGCAUUGACACUUCUCAACGUAAAUAGAUCAAUCAUUUUUGUUUAUUUUUUUUCCAUUCUAAUCUUAACCAAUAAUGUAUGUAUACUUCCUUUGGAAAGAUAAGACUACAUAAAGCACGAAGAGUAUAAUCUAUCAUUGAAGCGAUACAUUUAUGUAUGGGUGUUUGUAUUUAAAAAGGACUGUCGUACCCUGCAAGAGUUGCUUAAAGGAAGAAAACGAAGACGACGACGACGACGACGAAAUCGAUAGGGUCGAGUGUUCGUAAUUAGUCUAACACAUAUCCAUAUCUCUUUCAUAAACAUAUAACUACAUAUUCUGUUUUCUUUCGUGACAUGUCUCGCACGACAUGGAUUGUUACUAAAGUCGAUGACGAUAAGAAAUUCGAUAAUCAACUUUUCUAUCUACGUAUUGUAGUUUCGAAUCUAAUCUUUUUCUGCUUUACAUCUACAUACAUAUAUACAUAUAUCAAGUAAUAAAUUCUUUGUAAGAAAUCGUAUCGAUUCCGAGGUAUCGUCGAUUGAAUUACUCGCUAGUGUAACACGCGAUAUCUUUUUUUCUUUCCUUUUUCUUUUUUCUUUGUUUUUAAUAUUCAUGUGAAUCGAUGUAAAUAGUAUAUUGUGUCACGUUCAACAAAAUUAAUGAUAGGUGAACUAUUCAAAUGACGUAUGUGUGUAUUUAUCUGUGUAUGUAGUACGCAAGUAAGUCGAUCGACCUACUUCUUCUUUGUAUAAUCUAUCUACCCUAACGUAGGAACAUUUUACUAAAGAAAACUUGUGUGUGUGUAUUAGGAAAAGAGGGGAUAUAAUGGAACAUUGAUUAUGUGUAGAGUAAGCAAAAGUUUACGCAUCGACGGUACCAUGAGAACGAUCGAAGCGUGUAUAUGCAGUUGAAUAGUUUCUGGAAAAGUACAGGGACCCGAUUUAAUGGUCGACCUGUUUAGAGUGAACAAAUACUUAUAUUUAUAUAUACGUAUAUCAUCAUUAUCAUCAUCAUCAUCAUUGAAUCCCAUAAAAUUGAGGAUUAGAUGAUGAGAAUUAGACGUAUACUCUGUAUGUUAAAAUAUGUUCAAAAAAAAACGAAAUAAAAAACGUUCAAAGUUCCUUUAACGGUACAUUAAAACACAUUGAAAAAUAUGUUGUAUAUUCGUUUGUGGUUGUAGAAUACAUGAACGCUUCAUUUUUUUCUUUAUUUUUUUCUUAUAUUAAUAUAAAUAUCAAAUUAAGAGCCAUUUAUAUAUAUCUACAGACAGUGCCAAAAGUUUCUAGAUUAUAUUAAUUUAUAUUAAAAAUCAGUUACUCUUUUCUUUUAGAUUAAUUUCUUUUUUUUUUUUUUUAGAUUGUAAAACUACAAUCCUAGGAACUUCUGAUCCACUCUGUAUAUAAAUUACAUACACGUGUAUGAAGUAUAUAAGAAGAUAGUGAUAUAAUUGGAUUAAUUUGUUUGAUAUAUCACUUCGUACUAUAAAUAUUCUUCCGGUAAUGAUCUACUGGUGUAAUCACGGUCAUAAUUUAAUUAAUAAUUGUUUGAUAAGAGUUUGAUAUUUUCGUUAUGAUAUUUUCGCGGCCAUGUACAUAUCUAUGAAAAAAUUUACGGCCAACGUUUGCCGUCUGGAAUAUCUUUUAUAAUUUUAUCAUGCUAUCAUAAAUUGAGGGUCUGUCAUACUAGUUGUUGGCAAAGCGUAGAGAGAGCAUAAUGAGUUUGUUAAUAUUCAAUGACCAUUCGAGAACUCGAUAACUCGCACGUGUAAUAAUCUUUUGCGUUAUACAGAUUAGUAAUUGUAUUGACGACACGAUGACUAUCGUUCAUGAUUAAAUACGAUAUGUUUCUAUGUACGAUUUCUUUUUUUUUUUUCUUUUUCUUUUCACUUUAACUCGUUCCUUUUUUCUUUCUUUCAUUAGAUUACGUGAUUUUAUCAUAGACUGAUUAUUAUUAUUAAUGACACGUGAUAAAUUAUAUUUUGCGUUCUAAGUUGUGUCUAGGAUGUGUCUGGAUUACAAUACUAAACUUAGAAAAAAAAGAACAAAUAAAAAGACAAGUCAAAUCUUUCUUGUUAUUUACUCGUCAUAUUUCUUUUUUAUUUAUUUUUUUAUUUAAUUUUCAAUAUCUUUUACUAAAAGUAAUUUACAUAAAUAGUAGAAUAUACGUAUGUAUGUAUAUAUUUAAAUAAAAAAUAUAUAUAUAAAUGUACAGAGUUACAAGCAAUUUUAAUAUUAGCAGCCAGAUAACAAGGAAUAUCUGACAAAUCUUUGCGUUAAGAAAAACUCAACGUUUAUCUUUUGCAUUAUAGGAAAUUUCAUUAUAUUUCUUUGUCUUUGAUUUGAUUGAUAAAAUAUACAUUCGAAAUAAUUGUUUUUGAUCUUUCGUUUGACACUUCCAUGACUUAAAUAUGCGAUAAUUAAAUAUUAAUUCGUCAUUAUCUGUCGUUUGUGUCCUACUUAUUCAAAUUAGUUCAAUAGUUUCUCGUGGGAUUUAAAAUUAUUCUAUCAAAUGGAAAAGCAUCGAAUAGAUUUAUAGCGAGAGUCAAUGAUACAAAUACAUUUCUUCGAUUCAACUUCGAUCGCUUUCGAAUAAUCACUCCAUCUUUCUAUAAAAGCAAGGUCAAGUUCUUCAAUCGUUACCUUUCGUAAUAAUUUAUUGGCUCGACUUGAUAGAUCUUAGUUUUGUAAUAGCAAUUAAACGUCCCCUUCUUAACUCGACAAUUUUUAUUUCAUUAUUUUAUUUUCUGAAUCAAGGUUAAGGUGUGUAAACUGUAAGAUCGUCUAACGUGAUUAAUUUAAUCGUUUAUAUUAUAGUUAUAAUAUUUACAAUAAUUGUUAUAAUAAUUGUUUUAUAUUAAUCACAGCUGUUGUGAAUACGGUAUAUCAUCAUCAUUUUCAAAUGUUAAUGUCCUUUUAUACUUUUUUCAUUAUCUCGGUAUAAUUCCAUCUUGAUAUCCUGUUCGUUGAAAUAUCAUUGAAUUUACAUUUGUGAAUAUAUAGGGUGCUCUUUUUGUAGGACAUUGAAUCCUUUCUAAUAUUCUAGGUAAUCCUUUCUCUGUUUUAUUUCCUACUGGUUCGAACAUAUUAUUCCAAAGAAGAUUAGCACCUAGGAAAUUGUAAAAAUCAUUUCAAAAUCAUUGCAUAUUUAUAUAAUUGAGUAUAUAUUAUAAUUGUUAUGAUUUUUUUUAUAUUUAGGAAUGGCUUUUAAUAAUGAAAAAUGAUCGCCUGAAACUAUGCAAUUUUCAUACAAUUAUAUCGGACUUGGUCGGUAAUAUAGAUGUCAUCGUAAUCAUGUAUUGACAUGAAAUAUAUAUAUAUGUACAUAUUAUAAGUUUAAUACUUUUAAUACUCUUAAUACUUUACUUUUAUGUUAUAAUAGUUUUUUUAUGAAAAUUACUAUAAUGUAUAAAUUAAGAAGAAACAUCUUUAUCGACACGUAUAAUAAACUUGACAUGUCGAUAAAGAUGAAUAUAUUACGACUAUCGGUAUUGUAGAAUUUUUGUACUCCUAACGACAUGCAACCCUUUAUACAUCAUGCUUGGAAAAAUCUAUAUUCAAGGUGUAUUUAUUAAAGACAAAAGUAUUAUAGAUAGUUCAUACAGUGCAAUAACUAUGAAAUACCUUUGUUAUUUUUAGAGAUAUGGAGAAACAUUAUUUAUAAAAAAAAAGUCGUAAAAUCUAGAGAGGGCCAUAAUAUGGCAGUAAUAAUUUUUGUAUAUGACAUUUACGGGAGAACAAGCACAAAAGUGAAAUAAGUCGUUUAAAAUAGAAAUAUCGAUCGCAGUACUAUAGAUUAUAAUUUUUUACCAAGUGCAUGACCAUUUUGACUAAAGUGGAAACAAUCGUAUGUGACCAAAUUAGGAUCAAUCGGUGUUGCUCUACUGGGAUCGGCAUUUGGAGCAUUAAAUAGUUUCAUAAAUGGUUGCAGUACUACCGUGAAUUCCUGCGAAUUAUCAUACCUAUAAGAAAUAUUUAUUUAUAUUGCUUUUAUCGAAAUUAAUAGUAAAUAAAAUAAUGAUAAUAAUUAUACCUUCCAGAAUUGAUCAAAGUUUCGGCUGCUUCCUGAUACAUCAUUGCCAUUCUCGAGGCCGUGAUGUCUGGUCUAUAUCCUUGAUGCAUACAAGCACAAUAAAGUGAAUGUAAUAUAGCACACAUAGGACUUUUUCGAACUCUAAGAGAAACCGUAACAUCUGAAUUAGAUUAACGAGUGUACGAGGUAAUGUCAUUUUGAGGUAGUCCAAAACUUUUCUUAAAUGAAAAGCAUGACGUAGUGGUGAAAAUUGUUCAGGAUUGUAACAUUGAGCCGAACAAAUAUCAUUUGCACCGAAGAAAAUAGUGAUCAACUGCAAUAAAAUUUUUUUUAGUGUUUGGUAAAAUUAAUCCUAGGAUCAUUUCUUAUUCUUUGCACGAGAAUUCUUGCUUGUUUUAUGGCAUCUUCGGUAGCUGCUACAGGAAAAGCAAUAUUUAAUCUCGCUUUUGAUGAAAUAAAUUCGCCUGUACCGGUCGAGUAGCCAGUUAGAUUUGGAUUGAAUACCUGUUGUCAAAUUAGAAAAGAAGAAACAAUUAAAUUCUCUUUAUCUACUGCAACGAAAAUAAAAUGGACUUAUAAUUUAUAACAAGUCUAUAAAAAACCAAAUCUUUAUAGCGUCUUCAUAAUAAAAAGAUUAAUAAUGAAUUCUGAAUACAAUAAUACCUUCAGUAAAUUCGGUAAUGUCAAAAAUUUUCGCCAAUUAUCUUGGCCACCUAUGCACCAGCUAACACCACGUGCUUCAAUGAAAGCUCCAAUCGCAAAUUCUUCCAAAGCUCCACUUCCAGCUACAAGAGAAUCACCGAGACCACCUAUUACGUCAAUAUCACCCGGUUUUAGUCUAUGAACACUCUUCGCGAACCUGCCGAAACGAGUGUUACAAGGAAACGAUACCGUGUCUGGUAUAGUUGGUUGCCUUCGUACUCCAUCGAAAAUCAUUGGAUAAACUAUACCAUUACUAUUGAAAUCUUCCUACAAGAAGAGAAAAGAGAAGAAGAAUAAUCUUGAGAAACAUUAAAAAGGCGAGUGACAAAUCAACACGAAUACACCGACCUUGUGUACGUUGGAAAUAAUACUGAGCAUGAAUGAAAUCGUAGAGAAAGAGCACUUCUUCUUGUAUUUACCAAGGAGACUUUCCUUCACCAUCUUUCUUGUCAAAUUUAUUCGUAGGCCCACUUAGUCUUCUUUUAUAUUCAGUUAGAGCGAAGACCUGAUACACUCCAAGUGAAAAGAUAAGGGAUAUCAGGAAAGGAAGACAAUCGGAAAAAGAAAAACGAAAAUAUAAUUAAACUCUUUUAUUUGACUUAGCAGUAAUAUAUAUUACAUUUUCUACAAUGAUAAUGAGAUCGUUAUUAAAGAUUAUGGCACUUCGAAUAAAUCUGAAUCAACAAAACAAUACGAUUGAAUAUCAUCGGAAGUAAAUAUUUUUUGGUCUGUUAAUAUAUCGCACCAAAUGGACGGUUUUCCUUCGAUACGAUUUUUCACGAGUACUUUCAAUUGUGGCGGAGGAAUAAGAGAUACGAAUACUCUUGGUAUAUUGUCACGAAGUAUUCUUAAAGUUUCAACGAUAUCCCGUUCGUGAUUUUGCAACGUUUCCGUUAACGAAGGGUUCGUGCAAAGAAACAAACAAAAAUCGUUGGAACCUAUCAUCAAAGAGAUAUGCUAAAAGGAGAAAGAAAAAAACAAGACGAAAAAGCGUCAUCCUUACGAGUAUGAAACCAAACACUGCAGAAAUGUGCACAAUGAAAUUUUCUACACAAUUUAGCAAUCUCAAAAUAAUAUUUAAAUAAAACAUACAUACCAAAGAUGUCGUAAAUUCCACGACGAAUUGUCCGAUAAAGUUGAAGAUUCAAUGGAUUGUCCAGAAAAGUCUUUUGCGACGAUACCGAGGUGUAUGAUUCAUAACAGACAAGAUAGAAGAAAAGGGUACACAAAGAUAAUAAUGUGUCAAAUGACUUGUUGUCCUCUCCUGAGAGAAGUAUUUAACUAUCUGAUGAAAAUAUUGCUUACUGGAAUACUACCUGACUAAGAAGAACUCGGAUGUAUCAAAGACCUUGAUUUUACCACCACUGCACUAACUAAUCGAAGGUUAUCGUUGAAGUAUAGAAAAAAAAUUUUCUGCCUUUCUUUUCUUGCUUUAAUUGUAAUAAUUCUAAAAGGCACACACACAUAUGUACAAUAUAUAUAUACGUUAUUGCGGAGAAAAAAAUUGCUGCGGAAUCAACUCAUUGUUAAUAUCGCGACUUGUUACGGUACGACUUAUUUUUGUUUGCACAAUUGUGAAUUGCAAUUUUUCAAUGAAUGAAAUAUUUAUUUGUACAACAACAACGAGAUCAUUGAAACCAUGAAAGACGUGACAAAGAAGUUAGUUUACAUCGAACGGUAGCGUGCUUGUGUCAGGAAACACUUGCGUUGCAUGGUAACGAGAGAGUGCUUUGUUCAGAGGUUUUUAAAUCCACGAUACGUAAAGUAUGUUUUACAAGACGAAUCUAUUUGCAUUUUAUGCUAGAAAAUGAAAAGAAUUCCUAUCACGUUGUUGCUCGAAUUGAUGAUAUCCUGUAGACCACUGUGAAUGUGAAUAACAAGGAAGAUUUACUUAUUCUAUAAGUGAUCUUUUGGGAAACAUCAAAACUAAAAUACUCCGUCUAAAAAUAUAAUUUAUAAGUUUGUAACAAGCUGAUACGAAGAAAAAACUGAUCGAUGAUCUCUGAAUAUUCAAUAAAGAGGAAUUACGUAGGAAGUUACUGAUUGCGACCUCUCGAGGAUAUAUCACGCAACUUUAUGAAAAUUACCGACUGCGAUCCAUCGGUAAUAAAAAAUGCUACAUGUCGAAUGCUUUACCAUCAGUGUCGAUAAUAAUUUCAUUAUCGACCGGUAUAUUAUAUAAGUCACUAAAAAGUGACAUCUAACAAAGUGGAGGAUGCUGGUCUGACUAUAAUUCAAAAAGCUGGUAUCUCUCGUUGCCUUGGAUGACCGAUUUUAUGCAAAGGAUUAUGUGAAGAAAAUAAUAUCUUAUCAACGUGUUAUCAAUACUGUAGUGGACAAAAUGAUAUGUGUAGUUUACUUCAUUUGUAGAUAGAUUUUUCUUUUCUUUUUCUUUUUAUAGAUGAUACAGUAUGAAUAAGAGCAUUAUCCUGUUGAAAUUAAAAUGAUAAUAUUUCAUCAUGUCAUUCUUGAAGGUAAGGGAACGAAUGUGACUUCUGAAACUUCUUAAUAUCCGUCAUUAUUCAUCCUUGUUGCGAUCGAAGCGAUUUGGAGUUUCUAAGAUUUCAAAGUUCCCCAUGCAAUUAUAUAAAAUAAGUAUAUAACUAUGCAAAGUAUAUAACCUUACGAUUUAUUUGUGAAAUUCUUUAAUUCGAUAAGAAUCAAAUUAUCAUAGAGCUAUCGAUAAAGAUAAGCUCAGGAAUGAAUGGUUUUAUGUACACUACCGUUUGUUCUUCCGCCGGCUAAUUCUAGACACGUGUAACUACAAUAUUCCGAGCUGAUCCAGCGGAAAUUGAAUCCGAUGAUUUCAUAUGCACUCAUGGUUUUUUAACGACGAGUUAAUUAUAACUCUUGGAAGAUGAGAGAUCUCUCUGCUUUAUUAUGUUUUAGAGUAACGUACGAUAAAAAAAUUAUCUGUUAAAUUACCGCUCGAUAUCAAGGUAUUAUACAACUCUAUUCUCAUUUAUAUUUCAUUGGCUAAAUUAUUUUGUUAUCUGUAUACCUUUUUUAUUUUUUUCCUUUUUCUUACUCGGGGAUUUUUUUAAAUUCGUCUAAAUAAAUCGUAUGAAACCCCAACAUAGCAAAUUAAUCUACAAAUAUGUUUAUAUAUGUCUGAAAUUAACGAUUAUUGAUGAUUUGAUAAGAAGAAAUAGAGAAAAAGUAAACGAAUUAUUAAUCAACUCCGCGAACAAAUGAAUACAAAAUCAUUAAUAAGGAAAUUUCUUAUCUGUUUCUUAUCGAUCUAUCGAUCGUCUGUGUACAGAACUAUUAAAUAUUGAACUUACAUUAGUAUUGCCACAACGUUACCAAAGAACCCUAAUUUCUUCUUAAAGUUUUGUCCAUUUUAUGCGUAUACAACAAAAUUUAUUUAAUAAACAACAAAAUCUUAAAAAAGUAAAAAAAAAAUCCCCGAAUAUAUCUCUAUACGAUUGAUAUUUUAAUGAGUUGUUUCCAUUUGAUACUAGCAUGAUACAGCAAAUACUUAUUGUGAAAUAUUGAUACUCUAUAAUAAGCAAGUAAUGCUUAUUUAUUAAUUAUAAUGAUCAUCUUCUAUCAAAGCACAUGGCACAUUUAUGUGUGAAUUAUAAUGACGUAAGAUACAUAAUUACGUAGAGUCUUAGUAGUAUAACAUCAUCUCUUCGAGCAUCUUCUGAUAAACGAGUUAAGUCGAAAAAGAAAUCUUUUUUGAUUACAACAGAAAGACAUAUAGCAUGUUAGCUAACAUCAUCCAAUUUAUCGACCAAUGAAUGAACAGAUGCAAAUGAUAUUACAUUUAUAUGGCAUAAGGCCUUCAGUCAUUUUACAUGCAUGUCUGCGUGGCUCGGUUAUACGUAUUUGUUACAUUAGUUAUAUCGAAGUAACAACUUUUCGUAAAGGACGCUUGAUUUGCAUAUUUUUGAAAACUUCUGUUCAUUUUCCGGAAUGCAAUUUGUAAAAAAUUGAAAAUACAAACAAUAAAAGUGCAAUUGUUCACUGAAGUAUGUGCAAAUAAUAGAAACAAUUUAAGAAAGCUACGAGUAAACAAUCGUCGAUCGUAGAAUAUUGUUUAGAUAACAUUUCGUGGUAUACGUGCGAUAUACACACACAUUUGGGAAUUGAAUGUCUAAGCAGCUUUCAAAUCUAUCCUUAUUUGUUAAAAUAAAAUAACUGUAUGUUGCGUCAAUGAAAAUAUAAAUUUACUUUAUGGUUAUUGUCGUGUCCCAUAAAAGAGUCUGACCAAUUUAAAAAAGGCAUUUAAAAAGUGAAUUUUAAUUUAGUACGUCCGAAGCAAAGAUCGAGUACACAACUCGCAAACGAUAACACGAUAACCGAGUGUGAUAUGUCUUUACAGUAUUAUUAUUACAAAUGUUAACACUCAUAAAAUAUAGAAAUUAUUCAAAAGCUGGGAAUAUGAAUAUCAUAAUAAAAUAAAAUAUAUAAUCAAUAAAAUAUUGUAAAAUAUCGUAAUAAAUAAAAUAUUGCUAUCAAUUUCAAAUCUUAUUAAAAUUCAUUUUUUAUGCAAAUUU
Molecule: long non-coding RNA, 12575 nt
Organism: Vespula vulgaris
Lineage: Eukaryota; Metazoa; Arthropoda; Insecta; Hymenoptera; Vespidae
Exons: 20
Source: RefSeq, a predicted model, not a curated record